Molecule: non-coding RNA, 27 nt
Filed under: Rattus norvegicus (Norway rat)
Lineage: Eukaryota; Metazoa; Chordata; Mammalia; Rodentia; Muridae
Source: RNAcentral
UUGAUCAUUUCUAAAGAAGGGACAUUU